RNAcentral lists this microRNA (21 nucleotides) under Chiloscyllium plagiosum (whitespotted bambooshark). RNAcentral's name for it is "microRNA PC-5p-314965_2". Lineage: Eukaryota; Metazoa; Chordata; Chondrichthyes; Orectolobiformes; Hemiscylliidae. The record is from RNAcentral.
GCAUAAAACUAAUGAGUGAAU